RNAcentral lists this ribosomal RNA (470 nucleotides) under uncultured bacterium. Its description in RNAcentral is "partial 16S ribosomal RNA". It matches the Rfam family "Bacterial small subunit ribosomal RNA", at positions 28 to 507 of the family's 1533-position model. The record is from RNAcentral.
GACGAACGCUGGCGGCGUGCUUAACACAUGCAAGUCGAACGCUGAAGCACCAGCUUGCUGGUGUGGAUGAGUGGCGAACGGGUGAGUAAUACGUGAGUAACCUGCCCUUGACUCUGGGAUAAGCCCGGGAAACUGGGUCUAAUACUGGAUGCUACAUGUCACCGCAUGGUGGUGUGUGGAAAGGGUUUACUGGUCUUGGAUGGGCUCACGGCCUAUCAGCUUGUUGGUGAGGUAAUGGCUCACCAAGGCGACGACGGGUAGCCGGCCUGAGAGGGUGACCGGCCACACUGGGACUGAGACACGGCCUAGACUCCUACGGGAGGCAGCAGUGGGGAAUAUUGCACAAUGGGCGAAAGCCUGAUGCAGCGACGCCGCGUGAGGGAUGACGGCCUUCGGGUUGUAAACCUCUUUCAGCAGGGAAGAAGCCACAAGUGACGGUACCUGCAGAAGAAGCGCCGGCUAACUACGUG